UCGAUUUAAGUGAAAACAAAUUUAGGACAGCGAACAGAACGACUCCGGCACACCUCUCUGUCAAGCAGCACAAGCCAAAGCACCUGGGGGUGUGGAAGGAGGCUCCACGGGGCUGCCUUCCCAAACCACGGCAGCCACAGGAUGCCUCGAUCAGACCUAAACCCCACCAUAAAAUCGUGGGGACAGGGCUGCUCUGACCAGCUGCACAGGGAGGGCUCUGCAAAGCCAAGAACUAAGGGGA
Molecule: long non-coding RNA, 241 nt
Organism: Oxyura jamaicensis (ruddy duck)
Lineage: Eukaryota; Metazoa; Chordata; Aves; Anseriformes; Anatidae
Exons: 2
Source: RefSeq, a predicted model, not a curated record